This 429-nucleotide ribosomal RNA is filed under the name Chloroflexota bacterium. RNAcentral's name for it is "Chloroflexi bacterium partial 16S ribosomal RNA". It matches the Rfam family "Bacterial small subunit ribosomal RNA", at positions 355 to 776 of the family's 1533-position model. The record is from RNAcentral. Lineage: Bacteria; Bacillati; Chloroflexota.
UGGGGAAUAUUGCACAAUGGGCGCAAGCCUGAUGCAGCCAUGCCGCGUGUAUGAAGAAGGCCUUCGGGUUGUAAAGUACUUUCAGUCGGGAGGAAGGUGUCAAGGUUAAUAACCUUGGCGAUUGACGUUACCCGCAGAAGAAGCACCGGCUAACUCCGUGCCAGCAGCCGCGGUAAUACGGAGGGUGCAAGCGUUAAUCGGAAUUACUGGGCGUAAAGCGCACGCAGGCGGUUGAUUGAGUCAGAUGUGAAAUCCCCGGGCUUAACCCGGGAAUUGCAUCUGAUACUGGUCAGCUAGAGUCUUGUAGAGGGGGGUAGAAUUCCAUGUGUAGCGGUGAAAUGCGUAGAGAUGUGGAGGAAUACCGGUGGCGAAGGCGGCCCCCUGGACAAAGACUGACGCUCAGGUGCGAAAGCGUGGGGAGCAAACAGG